AAGAAACUGGGGCCAAAACUGGCAAAGCAAUGCAAUCCUCAAUGAGCAAAGCCUAUCUUUUCAGGUCACCACAAGUGAUGGUAGGACAGUGACAAGCUACAAUAUUGUGCCUGCUAACUGGCAAUUUGGGCAAACAUUUGAGGGUGGCCAGUUUUAGAUUUUUUUUUUUCAAGGAGAAGCAACUGUUAUUUAUGUUUCUAUUAUAAUACUGUAAAACUGUUUGUGAGAAGGGGAUGGGGUUAGGGUAUAGAAGAAGGUUGGCCAAUAUGGCUGGCCGUUGCUGAGGUGGUUUAUUGGCACCCGCUAGGCCUUUUUAUAUGACUGAAUAGGGAUGGAUGUUCCCUAGUGGCUUUCUGUUUCAUUCAAAGCCAUCAAAUAUCAUUGUUUGCUUGUAAAUUUAGUCCCUAACUUGUGCUGAAUCGUAGUUGAGUUGGGGCAAUUUAUGUAAUAUAUAAACGAUCAAUUUUAUUGUCGUUUUACAAACCGCCUUUGGAGCAUUGUUGCUGUUGGUUUUCUCCUGUUACUGUGAAUUUAUGAUGCUGGGUGAGUGGAAGUUUUAUCGCAUUGAAAUGAAACAAGAAGUCGUUCUCAGGCCGUCUUAGCGGAUAAAAACUAAAGGGAAAAAAACAUGUCCAGUCACAAAAAUGACUGCAUUCUGUACAGGCAUACUUCUAGUAGGAUCGAGACUAUCAACUCCUCGAUUCCUCGUGGCUGCCUCUCCUCAUUCUUCUCUCUCCCUUUCCUCUAACAACGCAUACCUUGUAAAGAGAUCACGUCACUAUUGCCACCAUCGUCUCCUCAAGAAACACUUGCCCUUAACAUCACCAUCAUCCAUCAUGGCCCAGAUAGAAAGCUCCGCUGGGGUUUCUACAUCGCCAUCUUUUGAUGAUGGAGGGGAUAAUAUCACUGUUUUUCCUUUGUCUUCAUCGUCCGUUCUCAAAAUCAACAAAGGGGAUAUCACUAAGUGGUUCGUUGAUGGCUCCUCUGAUGCUAUUGUU
RNAcentral lists this unclassified non-coding RNA (998 nucleotides) under Hevea brasiliensis (rubber tree). Lineage: Eukaryota; Viridiplantae; Streptophyta; Magnoliopsida; Malpighiales; Euphorbiaceae. The record is from RNAcentral.